This 460-nucleotide ribosomal RNA is filed under the name uncultured bacterium. RNAcentral describes it as "partial 16S ribosomal RNA". It matches the Rfam family "Bacterial small subunit ribosomal RNA", at positions 338 to 795 of the family's 1533-position model. The record is from RNAcentral.
CCUACGGGAGGCAGCAGUGAGGAAUAUUGGUCAAUGGGCGCGAGCCUGAACCAGCCAAGUAGCGUGAAGGAUGACUGCCCUACGGGUUGUAAACCUCUUUUGCCGGGGAGCAACGGGCGCCCCGUGUGGCGCCACUGAGUGUACCCGGAGAAAAAGCAUCGGCUAACUCCGUGCCAGCAGCCGCUGUAAUACGGAGGAUGCGAGCGUUAUCCGGAUUUAUUGGGUUUAAAGGGUGCGUAGGCGGGGCGUUAAGUCAGUGGUAAAAUUGAGGGGCUCAACCCCUUCCCGCCAUUGAAACUGGCGCUCUUGAGUGGAAGAGAGGUAUGCGGAAUGCGUGGUGUAGCGGUGAAAUGCAUAGAUAUCACGCAGAACCCCGAUUGCGAAGGCAGCAUGCCGGCUUCCGACUGACGCUGAAGCACGAAAGCGUGGGGAUCGAACAGGAUUAGAUACCCUGGUAGUC